This 544-nucleotide ribosomal RNA is filed under the name uncultured bacterium. RNAcentral describes it as "partial 16S ribosomal RNA". It matches the Rfam family "Bacterial small subunit ribosomal RNA", at positions 355 to 889 of the family's 1533-position model. The record is from RNAcentral.
UGGGGAAUAUUGGACAAUGGGGGCAACCCUGAUCCAGCCAUGCCGCGUGUGUGAAGAAGGCCUUUUGGUUGUAAAGCACUUUAAGCAGGGAGGAGAGGCUAAUGGUUAAUACCCAUUAGAUUAGACGUUACCUGCAGAAUAAGCACCGGCUAACUCUGUGCCAGCAGCCGCGGUAAUACAGAGGGUGCGAGCGUUAAUCGGAAUUACUGGGCGUAAAGCGAGUGUAGGUGGCUCAUUAAGUCACAUGUGAAAUCCCCGGGCUUAACCUGGGAACUGCAUGUGAUACUGGUGGUGCUAGAAUAUGUGAGAGGGAAGUAGAAUUCCAGGUGUAGCGGUGAAAUGCGUAGAGAUCUGGAGGAAUACCGAUGGCGAAGGCAGCUUCCUGGCAUAAUAUUGACACUGAGAUUCGAAAGCGUGGGUAGCAAAACGGGAUUAGAUACCCUGGUAGUCCACGCCGUAAACGAUGUCUACUAGCCGUUGGGGUCCUUGAGACUUUAGUGGCGCAGUUAACGCGAUAAGUAGACCGCCUGGGGAGUACGGCCGC